Long non-coding RNA from Rhopalosiphum padi (bird cherry-oat aphid), 995 nucleotides. RefSeq lists it as uncharacterized. The transcript is spliced from 2 exons. NCBI's taxonomy places the organism in Eukaryota, Metazoa, Arthropoda, Insecta, Hemiptera, Aphididae. The record is from RefSeq and is a predicted model, not a curated record.
ACUAUCAAUAUUCAUCGAAAUCACAUACUCGCGCGCGUCGUUGACUAAUAUCAUAAUAUAACACCAGCGGUUCUCAAACUGUAUUUUUUUCGCGUAGUCCUCGAGUUGCCAAAAAAACCUACAGAGCUUCGAUUUCCAAAUAUCAGAAAUACCGAUUUUGAACCAGAAAUCGUUUGAUUUUUGAUUUCUCGUCUUUGCGUGACGCGUUUAAGAACAAAUCAUCCAAUCUGAUUCGUACGGUUUAGAGAAAAACUUACAACGUGUACUGUGCGACGUAAUUUGGCAAGCAUCGUAAAUUAAAUCAUUAGAACUAUUAGGAAAAACUUUGUUACAUAAAAGCGAUUGUGGAUAAUCAUUAGCGGACAGUACACACAUCUGUAUGAAUCAAAAGUGAUGAAAAUUUCGUCGUACCUAAUUAACAUAUAUAAUAAAAUAUAAUAUGUAAUAUAUUAUUGCGUGUACGUCUCAAUUGCGUUGGAGCUAUCGUAGUAAGUAGUUCGUCCGAUUUCGGUUAGCUACGAUUUCAACUGGACUGUAUAUAAUCUAAUAUACUGCCGUUGUUUAUCCAUCGCCAUGCCGUGCAGUUUGCGAACAGUCAUCGUUCGUGUAAAUUUCAAGUACAACAAUCAGAUCUGCGCCACCGUGUACAUAACAAUAUUUGUGUACAGGUUUUCGUUGUGAAUUACACGUACAAAGUACACCAGAUGAAUAUUUCAGACGUAGUUUAAUGAAUCUACCCCAACUCCGGAUUGCAAAAUACAAAUGAUAAUAGCACAAUAAAAAAAAAAAUUAGUCACUGAAAACAAGAUGACGUCUAUGUCGUUAGACGGACAAACAGAACGACGGACGACGAGCGCAAUCGGUGGCAUAAAGAAACCGCACGAGAGAAUAAUCUUAAUCAUGUAAGACGGAUUGAUUAGUGUUUAAUAUGAUGAAAUCAUUUAUAAUAUACAAAAUGUUAAUGAAUUAUCAAUAAUAACAAUAAUUAUAAAUUA